UACAUAGGGGGCGAGCGUUAUCCGGAAUUAUUGGGCGUAAAGGGUACGUAGGCGGGCUUGCAAGUCUGAUUUGAAAGCACAUGGCUUAACCAUGUGAGGUAAUUAGAAACUACGAGUCUAGAGAGUGGUAGAGGUAAAUGGAAUUCCAAGUGGAGCGGUGAAAUGCGUAGAGAUUUGGAGGAACACCAGUGGCGAAGGCGGCUUCCUGGUCUGUAACUGACACUGAGGCGCGAAAGCGUGGGGAGCAAACAGGAUUAGAUACCCCCGUAGUCCCUGA
RNAcentral lists this ribosomal RNA (277 nucleotides) under uncultured prokaryote. Its description in RNAcentral is "partial 16S ribosomal RNA". It matches the Rfam family "Bacterial small subunit ribosomal RNA", at positions 524 to 800 of the family's 1533-position model. The record is from RNAcentral.